RNAcentral lists this ribosomal RNA (421 nucleotides) under uncultured Anoxybacillus sp. RNAcentral describes it as "bacterial SSU rRNA". It matches the Rfam family "Bacterial small subunit ribosomal RNA", at positions 961 to 1382 of the family's 1533-position model. Lineage: Bacteria; Bacillati; Bacillota; Bacilli; Caryophanales; Anoxybacillaceae. The record is from RNAcentral.
GCGAAGAACCUUACCAGGUCUUGACAUCCCCUGACAACCCGAGAGAUCGGCGUUCCCCUUCGGGGGACAGGGUGACGAGGUGGUGCAUGGUUGUCGUCAGCUCGUGUCGUGAGAUGUUGGGUUAAGUCCCGCAACGAGCGCAACCCUCGACCUUAGUUGCCAGCAUUCAGUUGGGCACUCUAAGGUGACUGCCGGCUAAAAGUCGGAGGAAGUGGGGAUGACGUCAAAUCAUCAUGCCCCUUAUGACCUGGGCUACACACGUGCUACAAUGGGCGGUACAAAGGGUCGCGAACCCGCGAGGGGGAGCCAAUCCCAAAAAGCCGCUCUCAGUUCGGAUUGCAGGCUGCAACUCGCCUGCAUGAAGCCGGAAUCGCUAGUAAUCGCGGAUCAGCAUGCCGCGGUGAAUACGUUCCCGGGCCUU